AUUCAUUCCCUCCCACGGUGGAUGCGGACGCCGGGAGGAGCGCAGCCCCGGAGCGAGGAGCUGGGAGCCGCGGCGCAGAGAACGCGUAGCGACUCCGAAGAUCAGCCCCAAUGAACAUGUCAGUGUUGACUUUACAAGAAUAUGAAUUCGAAAAGCAGUUCAACGAGAGUGAAGCCAUCCAAUGGAUGCAGGAGAACUGG
This is a long non-coding RNA of Propithecus coquereli (Coquerel's sifaka), 200 nucleotides long. RefSeq lists it as uncharacterized. The transcript has 2 exons. NCBI's taxonomy places the organism in Eukaryota, Metazoa, Chordata, Mammalia, Primates, Indriidae. The record is from RefSeq and is a predicted model, not a curated record.